AGUUUCCUUAAAAGUGCUCUCAUAAAACCUUGUAAAAUUGUAAAAAUAUCUACCUGAAUAAACAUCACCAUGGCUCAUUGCAACUCUACUUUUUUGAAAUACAAACUUUCCUUUAUAGCAUAGAUUUUGUUGUAAGUAUCUGAGAAAAAUUACAAAAUUUAAGUACUAGACACAAAUUAUUAGCCAAAAUGUAAAUCUCUGGUAGACAGACACUUAGGUCUGUGCAAACAUAUUUCAUAAAUUAUAUUAUGGAAGAAUAAGUGUAGUACAAUAUAUCUUUGCAAAGUGCCACAGUAAUUUAUUAGAUUUAAUAGGAUUAGUGUCCUACUUCCAUACCCCCUGUUGAAAUGCCACAGAAAAUUAAACAAAAAAAAACUUCAUUCCAAAAUGGCCCUGUCAAAAAUGUAAAUAAGCACCUGCCUAGGAAGAGCAUUAUGAAUACCUGUAAAUUAUCAACUCCUAUGUCAACCUAUGUUUUGUUUAUCACCAGUGCAAC
This is a long non-coding RNA of Ruditapes philippinarum (Manila clam), 496 nucleotides long. RefSeq lists it as uncharacterized. The transcript has 2 exons. NCBI's taxonomy places the organism in Eukaryota, Metazoa, Mollusca, Bivalvia, Venerida, Veneridae. The record is from RefSeq and is a predicted model, not a curated record.